GAUGAACGCUGGCGGCGUGCCUAAUACAUGCAAGUCGAGCGAACAGACGAGGAGCUUGCUCCUCUGACGUUAGCGGCGGACGGGUGAGUAACACGUGGAUAACCUACCUAUAAGACUGGGAUAACUUCGGGAAACCGGAGCUAAUACCGGAUAAUAUAUUGAACCGCAUGGUUCAAUAGUGAAAGACGGUUUUGCUGUCACUUAUAGAUGGAUCCGCGCCGCAUUAGCUAGUUGGUAAGGUAACGGCUUACCAAGGCAACGAUGCGUAGCCGACCUGAGCGGGUGAUCGCCCACACUGGAACUGAGACACGGUCCAGACUCCUACGGGAGGCAGCAGUAGGGAAUCUUCCGCAAUGGGCGAAAGCCUGACGGAGCAACGCCGCGUGAGUGAUGAAGGUCUUCGAAUCGUAAAACUCUGUUAUUAGGGAAGAACAAAUGUGUAAGUAACUAUGCACGUCUUGACGGUACCUAAUCAGAAAGCCACGGCUAACUACGUG
RNAcentral lists this ribosomal RNA (497 nucleotides) under uncultured bacterium. Its description in RNAcentral is "partial 16S ribosomal RNA". It matches the Rfam family "Bacterial small subunit ribosomal RNA", at positions 28 to 507 of the family's 1533-position model. The record is from RNAcentral.